RNAcentral lists this ribosomal RNA (119 nucleotides) under Aedes aegypti (yellow fever mosquito). The record is from RNAcentral. Lineage: Eukaryota; Metazoa; Arthropoda; Insecta; Diptera; Culicidae.
GUCAACGAUCAUACCAUGUUGAAAACACCAGUUCUCGUCCGAUCACUGAAGUUAAGCAACAUCGGGCGCGAUUAGUACUUAGAUGGGUGACCGCUUGGGAACGGGUGCGAUAAUUGGAU